UGUAGGGUUAGAUUUUAGGGUUGAUUAAGGGUUAAGGUUAGGGUUAGGUGUAGGGUUUGAUUUUAGGGUUGAUUAAGGUUUAAGGUUAGGGUUAGGUGUAGGGUUAGAUUUUAGGGUUGAUUAAGGUUUAAGGUUAGGGUUAGGUGUAGGGUUAGAUUUUAGGGUUGAUUAAGGGUUAAGGUUAGGGUUAGGUGUAGGGUUAGAUUUUAGGGUUGAUUAAGGGUUAAGGUUAGGGUUAGGUGUAGGGUUUGAUUUUAGGGUUGAUUAAGGGUUAAGGUUAGGGUUAGGUGUAGGGUUAGAUUUUAUGGUUGAUUAAGGGGUAA
This is a long non-coding RNA of Astyanax mexicanus (Mexican tetra), 323 nucleotides long. RefSeq lists it as uncharacterized. The transcript is spliced from 3 exons. The record is from RefSeq and is a predicted model, not a curated record. Lineage: Eukaryota; Metazoa; Chordata; Actinopteri; Characiformes; Acestrorhamphidae.